RNAcentral lists this ribosomal RNA (477 nucleotides) under uncultured anaerobic ammonium-oxidizing bacterium. RNAcentral describes it as "bacterial SSU rRNA". It matches the Rfam family "Bacterial small subunit ribosomal RNA", at positions 365 to 832 of the family's 1533-position model. The record is from RNAcentral.
UUCGCAAUGCCCGAAAGGGUGACGAAGCGACGCCGCGUGCGGGAAGAAGGCCUUCGGGUUGUAAACCGCUGUCGGGAGUUAGGAAGUGCAAGGAUGUUAAUAGCGUCUUUGCUUGACUAAGGCUCCGGAGGAAGCCACGGCUAACUCUGUGCCAGCAGCCGCGGUAAUACAGAGGCGGCAAGCGUUGUUCGGAAUUAUUGGGCGUAAAGAGCACGUAGGCGGCCGUGUAAGUCGGUUGUGAAAGCCUUCCGCUCAACGGGAGAACGGCAUCCGAUACUGCAUGGCUCGAGUGCGGGAGGGGAGAGUGGAACUUCUGGUGGAGCGGUGAAAUGCGUAGAUAUCAGAAGGAACACCGGCGGCGAAGGCGACUCUCUGGCCCGUAACUGACGCUGAGUGUGCGAAAGCUAGGGGAGCAAACGGGAUUAGAUACCCCGGUAGUCCUAGCCGUAAACGAUGGGCACUAAGUAGAGGGGUUUU